UUGGACUCGGUGUGGCGGUCGAUUCCUAGCGGCGCCGCUGUACACUGCCCCAAAUCUCGUUUCUCAUCUAAUCCCCUCACCAAGCCUUCCUCUCAUCUUAUCCAUUAGAGGUCGCAUCCUUCAGGUCGUUGCUGCAGCUACUGCUAGAUGUCAUUGCUGUGAGAUUGCUGUUGUUCCCGGUGCCUCUUCUCGCCAUGGUCGCUGCCGUGUGGAGGCUGCUCCCGUUCCCCUGUUCCCUGCGUCGUCAUGGUUGUCGCCGCUGCCGCCUUUGGCCAAUACCGGGUGUGGGUACUUCUGGUUCGAGAUCAAUUGACUCACACUUUGUGCCCCGCGGUUGAGGCAAGUUCAUGGAGGGAUAAUGAUUUUGCAUAUUCCCUAACCGCCAUUUUUAUUUAUGAUAUUCGCCCCAUGUCACUGAUGCUUAUUACUAUGGAGAUGAUGAUGACCAUGCUGAUUCAAGUACUUGCUUGUAUUUGCAUAUUUGCACUCAUGAUGAUAAUGAAAGAAAGAGUGCCCUGCCUCAGGUAGGCACAUUGAGACCUCCAUUGUUGGGUUGUGACCUACUUUGGAGGCAACCUUCCAAUGUUGGAGUGAGUGAAUGUCGACGGGCGUCCACUCAAGCGAUACCGGUAUACGCAUUUAAAUGAGAUGAGCAUUUAGGCAUGUAGGACACCUUUAUAUGUGUUGAAUGUUGAUGAGUGUAUGGUGUUGACAGAGACUUGGUAUAUUGAUAUAAGUGUUGUUUAUUAUUUCUUUAUGAACUUGCUGAGCCUUUGUACUCUUGCUUAUAUGUUUUUAGGUAAAUUCUGAGGAAGACAUGCAUGGGAGUCUUGGGAGUAGCAUCAUCACCGUUUUUACCAUACAGAACUCACACAUAUUGUCCCUUAGGACCGUGUUUUGAGAACCUAGUACAGUUUGUACCUUACUUCACGUGGGAUUUGCCUUGAGUUUGAGAGUUACUCUCUUGGUCUGUAUGGCUUAACUAAUUUCCAUUUAAGACUACCGUUAUUCGCCUAGAGUUAUCGAGGUUGUUCUCGGAUAUGGUAUUGUAGCCUUGUGCUUUACACUGGUGCUAUGUUCCUUGUGUCAUAUAAUUACAUGAAUUGCAUGGCGUGGAUGUCCUUAGAAAUAGAGGAAACUUUGUCGGAAUUUCCUUUGAGGGCAUGUUUUUCCAAAGGUGUUAUGUGGUAAUAUUCCGAGCGCCUUGUUGGCUCGGGGUGUUACACCGAGGAACAUUUCUAUCCCACACUCGCACGACAUGCAUGGCUUUUCAAAU
RNAcentral lists this long non-coding RNA (1276 nucleotides) under Triticum aestivum (bread wheat). RNAcentral describes it as "long non-coding RNA (TAES_LNC022547)". Lineage: Eukaryota; Viridiplantae; Streptophyta; Magnoliopsida; Poales; Poaceae. The record is from RNAcentral.